Molecule: long non-coding RNA, 3935 nt
Filed under: Lynx pardinus (Iberian lynx)
Lineage: Eukaryota; Metazoa; Chordata; Mammalia; Carnivora; Felidae
Source: RNAcentral
GGCGUAGCAAGGUUAGGAGGUUGGUAGGAGAGGAGAUGGUUAGGAAUUGUUGGAGUUGGUACUGGUUGCCCCAAAGGCCCGUGAACAGGAUUCUGGAAGCUGUAAGAAUUGAUGGAGAACACUUGAGGGACACCUGCUAUGUUCUUUGCUGACUGUAUUCCAGCAUUAAGAAAGACUGGGUAAGACCUUAUAACUGAGCCAUUUAUUUGCAUAGAAAUUUCCGGUUCUCUCUGUGAGUGGACAGGGGAGCGGGUGGAAUAAGAGAAGAAUGGAAAGCGUCCUCCUAGUUUUCUAUCAGUUGCUAGAAACUACGGGAGGGCUACUUAAUUACUUCUGGAUUUUGCAGAAAAUUCUAAAGGUAGCUGAAUUUUAGAAGCAACUGCAAAUACUGAAUAUCCUUUCCGCAUUUAGAACUCGUGUGAAAAACUCAUACAUUUAAGUUUCAAAAGGUUUUGACGUUCCAACUGACAGCUUUUAGCUAAACCUAUACAACAAAUGGCAAAUAGGAUCUUAAAGCCUUUUAAAACCAACAAAGCAAACAAAUAUCUAACUUCUCAAUUAGAUAUACAAAUGUGUCCUCUAUUAUAAUUCUCAUGUUCUGAGGGGCAGGCAUUGUACUAAAUUCUUCACCUACAUUAUAUCAGUUAAUCUAAAUCCACAAAAGUAGGCAGUUCUCCAUGUUACAGAUGAAAAAAAAAAGUUUCAAGUGGUUAAGUAAUUUGCCUUUGUUCAUUGAGCUAGUUAGUGGUAGAGCUGAAAUUCCAACUUUGGUCUCUUGAUUCCAAAGGCACUGCUAAGCAUUUGACUUGUCAGACACACCUGCCACCUGAGAGUUUCUGACUCAUGACUGUGGACAAGAAGGCCUCAGUCUGAGUACACCUAGCCUAGAAUUCUAACAGAGGCAUUGAGGGAAUGUUAUCUUCCCCAGUGUCAUCUGCCCUGGCCAAAGUCUAGAGCUGCAUUUCUGCAUCCAUACUCCAGUCUUUAACAUCUCCAUUUUCCAACCUGGCCUCUUUUAAUACAAACUGCUUUCUCAAAGGGAAAUAGACCUUUUGUUUCUUCUUCCUAAGGGUAAUCUACAAAAUCAAAAUAAUUGUGUAUUUCCUGAUCAUUAAAUUUAUGCAUAUUCCAGUGUUAAAUUUCAGAAAAUAGAAGAAUAUAGAAGAGAAAAGUAACCCUUGCUCUACAAUCAAGUAUAACCACUACUUACUUUUUUGAUUCACAAUGUAUCUUCCUUGGAUAUACUGCAUACGUAGAUUGUCUCCAUGCUUUCAGUCACAGUCAUUGCCACCUUUAAUAGUCUUCCUCAUUCUUUCCCGGGGGCAAACCUUUUUCAACCUAAUUUAUGAAAACUUUCUUGAUUUUGUUCCCUGUAUCCUUAUGGCAUUCAUGUUGUAUUUUAAUUACUUAUUUGUCUGUCUUUCCUAGGAGCAAGCUAAAGUUGUAGAACUAUCAGAAUAAAGUAAGAGAUGGAAGAGACCAGAAUGUCAGAUGGACAAGUAGUUUUGCACACCAGUUUGUGAACUGGGGUUCAUCUAUGGUGAAGUUGCUACAGAUCAGCAGAGAAAUAAGAAAAAAAUAUAGUGAGUUUUUCAUUUAGUUAAACUUACUCUUAAGGAUUGUGCAUUAUAUUGAAAUUGUUCAUUCUAUUUCUUUUAUCCAAUGACAGUUAUAGAGUAGUUAUUUUCUAAAUAAUUUUCUUUGAAGAAAUAUUUGUUGCUAACUUUAUUUGCUCCCAUUUGGUUUAUUUUAUUUCUGAAAUUUUUCUUGGUCCACGAGAUCCUAAAGUCUAGCAAUGACUGAGAUAGAGAAUGGCCACCAAUUUCAGCAAUCAUAAUGCUGGUGUGAUUCUAGUCUACUUACUUUAUCUGCUAUAUGUAUUCUCUGUAUUCUUUCUGGAUAUGACUUAGUCUAAGCCUGAGGGUGGAUCUGAGCUUGAUGGUGUUUGGAAGAUAAGAAGUGGUUGUAACUGGCAGAUGGUACUAGGCCCCAAAGUAAGACAUUAUUCAUUCUUGAUGCAGUUUAUAUAGAUGAAAUGAAGUUUCUGUUUGUUACUGUAUUACAUGAAAAUAGGUAGAUGGAAUUUUGCCACCCAUGGAGAAUAUGUUUGUGUUAGUCUGACUUAAAAUAAUAAGUUAAUAAAAUUCACUUUGAGGGAACGUGGGAGGUGGGCACUGCUGUCAACCUUUUGGUAUGUGUCUUCACAUCUCUCUAUACAAAUAUGCCCUUGGUGGUUUUAAAAUAUGGCUAUGACUUCUUUGAUGUCCUUCCCAUGAAAAGAUAUACUUUGUGUCUUCUCCUCUUAAAUCUGGAUGGGCUUAUGAUUGAUUUAUACAAGAGAAUAUAGAGAAAGUGAUCAUAGUCACCAUAUGUGACUUCAGAGGCUAGGUCAUAAAAGGCCGUGCAGUCUGUUGAAACCCUUGCUUUUGUAGCUCUCAGCCAUCAUGUAAGAAGUCUGACUACCUGAGUCCCAUGUGCUGUGAAAAGCCCAGGGCAAUAGGGAGACCCCUUGAAUGUACUCUGAUUGACAGUCACAGCUGAGCCCAGCCCUCCAGUUAGCCUAGGUGCCAGAUAUGAGAAUGGAGAAGCAGAUUCCAGCUCUCAGCCAUUUAGUUACCCUUCAGCCUUUUCAGCCUUCCCAGCUGAGGACCUAGACUUGUGGACCAAAGCGAGCCUUUCCUGCCCUGUCUUGUCCUAAUUCCUGACCUGAAGAAUCCACGAUUUUAAGAGAAUGGAAAACAAGACACAGACUGGGAGAAAUAUUUGCAAAAAAAAAUACAUCUGAUAAAGGACUGUUAUCCAAAAUGUUUAAAGAACUGUUAAAACUCAACAAUAAGAAAACAAAAGCUUGUUUAAAAAAUGGGCCAACACCUUUACAGACCUCACUAAAGAAGAUAUACAGAUGUAAAAUAAGUAUAUGCCAAGAUGCGCCAGCCACAUCAUAUGCCAUCAGGGAAAUGCAAAGUGAAAAAAAAAAUGACUUACCACUACACAUCUCUUAGAAUGGCCUAAAUCUAGAAAUUGACAACACCAAAUGCUAGUGAAGAUGUGAAGCAAAAGGAAUUCUCAUACAUUGCUAGUGGGAACACAAAAUGGUACAGCCACUUUGGAAGAUAGUUUGGAAGUUUCUUAUAAAAUGAAGUAUACUCUUACCAUGUGAUCCAGCAACUGAACUUUUUACUAUUUACCCAAAGGAGGUGAAACCUUAUGUCCACACAGAAACCUGCACAUUGAUGUUUAUAGCACCUUUAUGCAUAAUUGCCAAAACUUAGAAGCAACCAAGAUGUUUUUCAUUAAAUAAAUGGAUUAAUACACGAUGGUACAUUCAGACUACAGAAUAUUAUUUAGCACUAAAACGAAUUGAGUUACCAUGCUAUGAAAAGACACGGAGGAACCUUAAAUGAAUACUACUAAGCUGAAAAGGCUACACACUGUGAUUCCAAAUAUGUGACAUUCUGGAAAAAACAAACUAUGGAGACAGUAAAAAAAAAAGUCAAUGGCUCCCAGACAGGGACAAGGGAGAGAUGAAUAAACAGAGUAUAGAGGAUUUUUAGAGCAAUGAAAAUACUCUAUAAUGUUAAUGAAUGUAUGUCAUUAUGCUUUUGUCCAAAUCCAUAGAAUGUGUAACACCAAGAACGAACCCUAAGGUAAGCUGUGGAUUUUGGGUGAUUUUGAUGUGUCAGUGUAGAUUCAUCCUUGAUAAAAAAUGUACAAUGCUGGUGGACAAUACUGGUAAUGGGGAGGCUAUGCAUGUGUGGAGGGGCUAGGGGUUAUAUAGGAAUUAUCUGUAUCUUUCAAUUUUGUUUUAAAUCUAAAAAUGCUCUGAAAAAACAAUAAAGUUAAAGUCUUAAAAUGAAUUCAUAAGCAUAAUAAAAAUGAUUAUUUUACUUCUCUGUUUAGGGUUGUUAUGCAUCUUUUCCAGUGAGUAGAUAACU